AUUGAACGCUGGCGGCAUGCCUUACACAUGCAAGUCGAACGGCAGCACGGGAGCAAUCCUGGUGGCGAGUGGCGAACGGGUGAGUAAUACAUCGGAACGUGCCCAAUCGUGGGGGAUAACGCAGCGAAAGCUGUGCUAAUACCGCAUACGAUCUACGGAUGAAAGCAGGGGAUCGCAAGACCUUGCGCGAAUGGAGCGGCCGAUGGCAGAUUAGGUAGUUGGUGAGGUAAAGGCUCACCAAGCCGUCGAUCUGUAGCUGGUCUGAGAGGACGACCAGCCACACUGGGACUGAGACACGGCCCAGACUCCUACGGGAGGCAGCAGUGGGGAAUUUUGGACAAUGGGCGAAAGCCUGAUCCAGCCAUGCCGCGUGCAGGAUGAAGGCCUUCGGGUUGUAAACUGCUUUUGUACGGAACGAAACGGCCUUUUCUAAUAGAGAGGGCUAAUGACGGUACCGUAAGAAUAAGCACCGGCUAACUACGUGCCAGCAGCCGCGGUAAUACGUAGGGUGCAAGCGUUAAUCGGAAUUACUGGGCGUAAAGCGUGCGCAGGCGGUUAUGUAAGACAGUUGUGAAAUCCCCGGGCUCAACCUGGGAACUGCAUCUGUGACUGCAUAGCUAGAGUACGGUAGAGGGGGAUGGAAUUCCGCGUGUAGCAGUGAAAUGCGUAGAUAUGCGGAGGAACACCGAUGGCGAAGGCAAUCCCCUGGACCUGUACUGACGCUCAUGCACGAAAGCGUGGGGAGCAAACAGG
Molecule: ribosomal RNA, 753 nt
Filed under: uncultured Comamonadaceae bacterium
Lineage: Bacteria; Pseudomonadati; Pseudomonadota; Betaproteobacteria; Burkholderiales; Comamonadaceae
Description: bacterial SSU rRNA
Rfam family: Bacterial small subunit ribosomal RNA
Source: RNAcentral